This is a regulatory RNA element of Pluralibacter gergoviae, 95 nucleotides long. It matches the Rfam family "Tryptophan operon leader". From Rfam's summary of the family: At least 6 amino acid operons are known to be regulated by attenuation. The record is from Rfam. NCBI's taxonomy places the organism in Bacteria, Pseudomonadati, Pseudomonadota, Gammaproteobacteria, Enterobacterales, Enterobacteriaceae.
CACGGCUGGUGGCGUUCAUCCUGUUAACGGGCUGUGCGCUAUCGUCUUGAUAAAGACAUACAGAUACCUGGCCCGCCGCAAGCGGGCUUUUUUUU